This 468-nucleotide ribosomal RNA is filed under the name uncultured bacterium. Its description in RNAcentral is "partial 16S ribosomal RNA". It matches the Rfam family "Bacterial small subunit ribosomal RNA", at positions 28 to 507 of the family's 1533-position model. The record is from RNAcentral.
GACGAACGCUGGCGGCGUGCUUAACACAUGCAAGUCGAACGGAAAGGCCCUGCUUUUGUGGGGUGCUCGAGUGGCGAACGGGUGAGUAACACGUGAGUAACCUGCCCUUGACUUUGGGAUAACUUCAGGAAACUGGGGCUAAUACCGGAUAGGAGCUCCUGCUGCAUGGUGGGGGUUGGAAAGUUUCGGCGGUUGGGGAUGGACUCGCGGCUUAUCAGCUUGUUGGUGGGGUAGUGGCUUACCAAGGCUUUGACGGGUAGCCGGCCUGAGAGGGUGACCGGCCACAUUGGGACUGAGAUACGGACCAGACUCCUACGGGCGGCAGCAGUGGGGAAUAUUGCACAAUGGGCGGAAGCCUGAUGCAGCAACGCCGCGUGCGUGAUGACGGCCUUCGGGUUGUAAACCGCUUUCGCCUGUGACGAAGCGUGAGUGACGGUAAUGGGUAAAGAAGCACCGGCUAACUACGUG